GAGAGCAUUGAUUCAACAAUGGACAUACACAAACAGGAAAAAAGCACAGAAAACAACAACAUUUUUAAGACCUACAGCAGAGAAGAAAUUAGUCGACAACUUUGUGGACUCAUUGACAGAAAAUGUAAAACCAAUAAACGAGACCAUGUUCGAAGUCGUUGAACUAACCAGAUCAUGGGUCAUCAACCUCAAGGAGAAAACAUGCAGUUGCAACAGAUUCCAACUUGAUGAGUUACCGUGUGCUCAUGCGCUUCUUUGUUAUAAAAGAGAUGAACUUGAAUGUUUACAACUACUGUUCAGGUUAUUACACCACGCGAACAUGGCUUGAAACAUACAGCGGCUCAACAUAUCCGGUACACAAUCACACAACUUGAGAUGUGCCACAAAACAUAAAAGAUAUCAUUGUUCUGCCACCAAACCAAAAAAUAAGAUCUGGAAGACCAAGGAAACGAAGGUUUUUAUCUGAAUGGGAUACAAAAAAACAUAACAGGUGCAGCAAAUGUGGACAACACGGACACAAUCGAAAGACAUGCAACAAUCAAGCAAUAAAAUAGAUACAUAUGAAAUAUUUGAAUUGUUUAAUUUUGUGUGCAAAUUCAAACAGGUUGAUCUGUGAUGUUCUAAAUACAUGGGAUUUCAUUUUUAUGAAAUUUGAAACAGUUUUUUAAUA
This is a long non-coding RNA of Cannabis sativa, 670 nucleotides long. RefSeq lists it as uncharacterized. Lineage: Eukaryota; Viridiplantae; Streptophyta; Magnoliopsida; Rosales; Cannabaceae. The record is from RefSeq and is a predicted model, not a curated record. The transcript has 2 exons.